This 253-nucleotide ribosomal RNA is filed under the name uncultured bacterium. RNAcentral describes it as "partial 16S ribosomal RNA". It matches the Rfam family "Bacterial small subunit ribosomal RNA", at positions 524 to 776 of the family's 1533-position model. The record is from RNAcentral.
UACGGGGGGGGCAAGCGUUGUUCGGAAUUAUUGGGCGUAAAGCGUCCGCAGGUGGCGAUUCAAGUCUGCGGUCAAAGACUGGGGCUUAACCCUGGAAAGGCCGUGGAAACUGAAAAGCUAGAGUGCAGUAGGGGUAGAGGGAAUUCCCGGUGUAGCGGUGAAAUGCGUAGAGCUCGGGAAGAACAUCGGUGGCGAAAGCGGUCUGCUGGACUGCAACUGACACUCAGGGACGAAAGCUAGGGGAGCGAAUGGG